Molecule: ribosomal RNA, 466 nt
Filed under: uncultured bacterium
Lineage: Bacteria
Description: partial 16S ribosomal RNA
Rfam family: Bacterial small subunit ribosomal RNA
Source: RNAcentral
GACGAACGCUGGCGGCGUGCUUAACACAUGCAAGUCGAACGGAAAGGCCCUGCUUUUGUGGGGUGCUCGAGUGGCGAACGGGUGAGUAACACGUGAGUAACCUGCCCUUGACUUUGGGAUAACUUCAGGAAACUGGGGCUAAUACCGGAUAGGAGCUCCUGCUGCAUGGUGGGGGUUGGAAAGUUUCGGCGGUUGGGGAUGGACUCGCGGCUUAUCAGCUUGUUGGUGGGGUAGUGGCUUACCAAGGCUUUGACGGGUAGCCGGCCUGAGAGGGUGACCGGCCACAUUGGGACUGAGAUACGGCCGAGACUCCUACGGGAGGCAGCAGUGGGGAAUAUUGCACAAUGGGCGGAAGCCUGAUGCAGCAACGCCGCGUGCGGGAUGACGGCCUUCGGGUUGUAAACCGCUUUCGCCUGUGACGAAGCGUGAGUGACGGUAAUGGGUAAAGAGGCACCGGCUAACUACG